This 709-nucleotide ribosomal RNA is filed under the name uncultured bacterium. Its description in RNAcentral is "bacterial SSU rRNA". It matches the Rfam family "Bacterial small subunit ribosomal RNA", at positions 62 to 759 of the family's 1533-position model. The record is from RNAcentral.
UCGAACGGUAACAUAAAGAAGCUUGCUUCUUUGAUGACGAGUGCCGUUACGGGUGAGUAAUGCUUGGGAAUCUGGCUUAUGGAGGGCGAUAACUACGGGAAACUGUAGCUAAUACCGCGUAGAAUCGGGAGAUGAAAGUGUGGGACCUUCGGGCCACAUGCCAUAGGAUGAGCCCAAGUGGGAUUAGGUAGUUGGUGAGGUAAAGGCUCACCAAGCCGACGAUCUCUAGCUGGUCUGAGAGGAUGACCAGCCACACUGGGACUGAGACACGGCCCAGACUCCUACGGGAGGCAGCAGUGGGGAAUAUUGCGCAAUGGGGGCAACCCUGACGCGGCCAUGCCGCGUGAAUGAAGAAGGCCUUCGGGUUGUAAAGUUCUUUCGGUAGCGAGGAAGGCAUUUAGUUUAAUAGACUAGGUGAUUGACGUUAACUACAGAAGAAGCACCGGCUAACUCCGUGCCAGCAGCCGCGGUAAUACGGAGGGUGCGAGCGUUAAUCGGAAUAACUGGGCGUAAAGGGCACGCAGGCGGUGACUUAAGUGAGGUGUGAAAGCCCCGGGCUUAACCUGGGAAUUGCAUUUCAUACUGGGUCGCUAGAGUACUUUAGGGAGGGGUAGAAUUCCACGUGUAGCGGUGAAAUGCGUAGAGAUGUGGAGGAAUACCGAAGGCGAAGGCAGCCCCUUGGGAAUGUACUGACGCUCAUGUGCGAAAG